Molecule: ribosomal RNA, 429 nt
Filed under: uncultured bacterium
Lineage: Bacteria
Description: bacterial SSU rRNA
Rfam family: Bacterial small subunit ribosomal RNA
Source: RNAcentral
UGGGGAAUAUUGGACAAUGGGCGCAAGCCUGAUCCAGCCACGCCGCGUGAGUGAUGAAGGCCUUCGGGUUGUAAAGCUCUGUGGGGAGGGACGAAAACGGCGCUCAAGAAACGGGGCGUCCUUGACGGUACCUCCUUAGCAAGCACCGGCUAACUCUGUGCCAGCAGCCGCGGUAAUACAGAGGGUGCGAACGUUGCUCGGAAUUACUGGGCGUAAAGCGCGUGUAGGCGGGUCGGCAAGUCAGGCGUGAAAUCCCCAGGCUCAACCUGGGAACUGCGCUUGAAACUGCCGGUCUUGAGUAUCGGAGAGGGUGGCGGAAUUCCUGGUGUAGAGGUGAAAUUCGUAGAUAUCAGGAGGAACACCGGUGGCGAAGGCGGCCACCUGGACGAUUACUGACGCUGAGACGCGAAAGCGUGGGGAGCAAACAGG